AAAGAAACCAACAGGGAUUGCCCUAGUAACGGCGAGUGAAGCGGCAACAGCUCAAAUUUGAAAUCUGGCGCAAGCCCGAGUUGUAAUUUGUAGAGGAUGUUUCUGGCGACGUGCCUUCCGAGUUCCCUGGAACGGGACGCCAUAGAGGGUGAGAGCCCCGUACGGUUGGAUGCCUAGCCUCUGUGAAACUCCUUCGACGAGUCGAGUAGUUUGGGAAUGCUGCUCUAAAUGGGAGGUAUACGUCUUCUAAAGCUAAAUACCGGCCAGAGACCGAUAGCGCACAAGUAGAGUGAUCGAAAGAUGAAAAGCACUUUGAAAAGAGGGUUAAAAAGUACGUGAAAUUGUUGAAAGGGAAGCGUUCAUGACCAGACUUGGGCAGGUUGAUCAUCCGUGGUUCUCCGCGGUGCACUCUGCCUGCCCAGGCCAGCAUCAGUUCGCCCCGGGGGAUAAAGGCUUUGGGAAUGUGGCUCCCUCGGGAGUGUUAUAGCCCACUGUGUAAUACCCUGGGGUGGACUGAGGUUCGCGCUCUGCAAGGAUGCUGGCGUAAUGGUCAUCAACGACCCGUCUUGAAACACGGACCAAGGAGUCGUCUUCGUAUGCGAGUGUUCGGGUGUCAAACCCCUACGCGUAAUGAAAGUGAACGUAGGAGAGAGCUUCGGCGCAUCUCCGACCGAUCCUGAUGUUCUCGGAUGGAUUUGAGUAAGAGCAUACGGGGCCGGACCCGAAAGAAGGUGAACUAUGCCUGUAUAGGGUGAAGCCAGAGGAAACUCUGGUGGAGGCUCGCAGCGGUUCUGACGUGCAAAUCGAUCGUCAAAUAUGGGCAUGGGGGCGAAAGACUAAUCGAACCUUCUAGUAGCUGGUUUCCGCCGAAGUUUCCCUCAGGAUAGCAGUAUUGAACUCAGUUUUAUGAGGUAAAGCGAAUGAUUAGGGACCCGGGGGCUAUAUAUUGCCUUCAUCCAUUCUCAAACUUUAAAUAUGUAAGAAGCUCUUGUUGCUUAAUUGAACGUGAGCAUUCGAAUGUAUCAAU
This 1027-nucleotide ribosomal RNA is filed under the name Clonostachys rosea. RNAcentral describes it as "LSU rRNA". It matches the Rfam family "Eukaryotic large subunit ribosomal RNA", at positions 58 to 1121 of the family's 3401-position model. The record is from RNAcentral. Lineage: Eukaryota; Fungi; Ascomycota; Sordariomycetes; Hypocreales; Bionectriaceae.